GACGAACGCUGGCGGCGUGCUUAACACAUGCAAGUCGAACGGAAAGGCCCUGCUUGCAGGGUACUCGAGUGGCGAACGGGUGAGUAACACGUGGGUGAUCUGCCCUGCACUUCGGGAUAAGCCUGGGAAACUGGGUCUAAUACCGGAUAGGAGCCAUUUUUAGUGUGAUGGUUGGAAAGUUUUUUCGGUGUAGGAUGAGCUCGCGGCCUAUCAGCUUGUUGGUGGGGUAAUGGCCUACCAAGGCGGCGACGGGUAGCCGGCCUGAGAGGGUGGACGGCCACAUUGGGACUGAGAUAGGGCCCAGACUCCUACGGGAGGCAGCAGUGGGGAAUAUUGCACAAUGGGCGCAAGCCUGAUGCAGCGACGCCGCGUGGGGGAUGACGGCCUUCGGGUUGUAAACUCCUUUCGCUAGGGACGAAGCUUUUUGUGACGGUACCUAGAUAAGAAGCACCGGCUAACUACGUG
This 465-nucleotide ribosomal RNA is filed under the name uncultured bacterium. Its description in RNAcentral is "partial 16S ribosomal RNA". It matches the Rfam family "Bacterial small subunit ribosomal RNA", at positions 28 to 507 of the family's 1533-position model. The record is from RNAcentral.